CCUAGGGUGGCUGCAGUGGGGAAUAUUGGACAAUGGGGGGAACCCUGAUCCAGCCAUGCCGCGUGUGUGAAGAAGGCCCUCGGGUUGUAAAGCACUUUCAGUGAGGAAGAACGCCUGGUGGUUAAUACCCAUCAGGAAAGACAUCACUCACAGAAGAAGCACCGGCUAACUCCGUGCCAGCAGCCGCGGUAAUACGGAGGGUGCGAGCGUUAAUCGGAAUUACUGGGCGUAAAGCGCGCGUAGGUGGCUUGAUAAGCCGGUUGUGAAAGCCCCGGGCUCAACCUGGGAACGGCAUCCGGAACUGUCAAGCUAGAGUGCAGGAGAGGAAGGUAGAAUUCCCGGUGUAGCGGUGAAAUGCGUAGAGAUCGGGAGGAAUACCAGUGGCGAAGGCGGCCUUCUGGACUGACACUGACACUGAGGUGCGAAAGCGUGGGUAGCAAACAGGAUUAGAUACCCUAGUAGUC
This 464-nucleotide ribosomal RNA is filed under the name Vreelandella stevensii. Its description in RNAcentral is "partial 16S ribosomal RNA". It matches the Rfam family "Bacterial small subunit ribosomal RNA", at positions 338 to 795 of the family's 1533-position model. The record is from RNAcentral. Lineage: Bacteria; Pseudomonadati; Pseudomonadota; Gammaproteobacteria; Oceanospirillales; Halomonadaceae.